This 673-nucleotide long non-coding RNA is filed under the name Gossypium raimondii (Peruvian cotton). Its description in RNAcentral is "long non-coding RNA (GRAI_LNC011113)". The record is from RNAcentral. Lineage: Eukaryota; Viridiplantae; Streptophyta; Magnoliopsida; Malvales; Malvaceae.
UAUCAUCCUCACUAUUACAAUAUUUCUUAAAAUGAUUGCCUACCGAUUAAACUAAUAAAGAAACUAUCUGAAGGAGAUUAUUCUUCAGACCACCAAUGGGAAGUGAAUGCAGACGCAGCAGUCAAUGAUGACGGUAAUUUGGUAUGUUCUUAUACUAUUGUUAGGUGAUUGGAAGGUGGUAUGAUAAUUUGUGAAAGAAAUUGUGGCCCAAAGAUCCCAAAGGCAGUACAAGUUGUUGAAGUUCAUAACUCACAAACAACUAACCCAGGAUGGUCCCUUAUUACACUAGAAUGCCAUGUUCUUCUUGUCAUGGGAUAUCACCAUUGAAGAGUUAAGUUUGCUUUUUACCUGCAGCAUUAUGUAAAAUAUAUAUUGCUGGAUUAAACCAGGUUUUCCUAAUUAUCAACCCCUUUUCCAAGUUCGAUUUUGCAUAUUAUGUAAAUAUAGAGGAAACCGUAGGGAGAUCCAUGUUUAUAGAAAAAGAUAAGGUGAGAGGUACAUGUAUGAAUGCUGAGAUUCAAGACAGAAUUUAAUUCGUUGUAGGUCCCCAAAGUGUUUUUGGGAUAUUUAUUGCCUUGGGCUAGAAAGAAAGGAUUAUAUAUUGUUUUUGUCAAUAUAUGGAGAAGAAAAUCGUAUUGUAUAUGUUGACACCAUUUUUUUGUUUGAAAACGGG